Long non-coding RNA from Leopardus geoffroyi (Geoffroy's cat), 581 nucleotides. RefSeq lists it as uncharacterized. The transcript has 3 exons. The record is from RefSeq and is a predicted model, not a curated record. NCBI's taxonomy places the organism in Eukaryota, Metazoa, Chordata, Mammalia, Carnivora, Felidae.
CGCCCCGGCCCCGCCCUCUGUAACCCCGCCCCCAAUCAGGCUGAGGCUGAUUCACCCUUUCCAGAUCCGCAGGCCUAGAGGCCAUGAAGGAAGUGACAACCUGUGAGGAAAAAGACUUUAAGACCUGUGAGAUUCUUGAAGACAGAGACGGUGGUUUACUAAUACCUGCCAAGCCUGCAAUGGAAUAAGUAGGGGCUUGGGAAUUAAAAAGAUUUGAAUUUAAAUCCUGGCUCUUGAACUUUCUGUGUCAUCAUGGGAGUGUAUCCUGCAGAUAUACAUGUUGUGCAUGCAUCAUGUAUGAACAAAAUACUCCGUGCAGAUUGCACUUGGGCCUCAGCAGAGCCAGGUGAGGAAGAAAGUCCUGGUGCACUCCCAGGGUCAUGUUCCACCCAGGGUGCACUGCCCCCCACCCCCCAACACACCCACCAUGGAAGGCAGCAUGGAUGCAGGUUACUUUGUUACAGCUUCUUUGAAAAUACAUCAGAAGUUUGGGGAACCUGGGUGGCUCAGUGGUUUGGUUAAGCCUCUGCCUGACUCUUGGUCUGGGCUCAGGUUCUAUGAGAGUGGAGGGCUCUGGGAUG